GAUCGAAAUUUUGGGAUUUCAGACAUUAUUUUUGUAAUAAUUAAUUAUGUCUCCGUUUGUAGCAUUGAGGAACAGGAAAGAAAGACAACUACGAAAAGGAAGAGAUGAGAAGUCAAGUGAACAGAGCCUGCACAAAAUCCUCUUCCUAAACUUGAUUGACCGUUCCUGUGCAAGACACAAUUUUUUUUCUUUUCAUCAUCUGUUGUUUUGUUUUCUUAAUUAGUUUCUGUUUCUUUUUCCUGAAUACCUUUUCAACGAUUAAUUUUUUGUUUCUAAUUUUUCAGUUUUUGUUUCGCGCCUAUUCUGUUUUUCAUCUUCAUAAAUUUCCGGGUUUUAUUGUCUUUAACAAGACUGUGUGAGUAAAUAUAUUUGUUUGAGUUGGUGUCAAUAACUCAUGAAUAUUGCAGUUUGUACAUUUUUUUUCUCGAGGUC
This 432-nucleotide long non-coding RNA is filed under the name Erythranthe guttata (spotted monkey flower). Its description in RNAcentral is "long non-coding RNA (EGUT_LNC002253)". Lineage: Eukaryota; Viridiplantae; Streptophyta; Magnoliopsida; Lamiales; Phrymaceae. The record is from RNAcentral.